Molecule: ribosomal RNA, 1284 nt
Filed under: metagenome
Description: bacterial SSU rRNA
Rfam family: Bacterial small subunit ribosomal RNA
Source: RNAcentral
UAUUGGAGUGGCCGAUGUCGGAUUAGCUAGUUGGUGGGGUAAAAGCCUACCAAGGCGACGAUCCGUAGCUGGUCUGAGAGGACGAUCAGCCACACUGGAACUGAGACACGGUCCAGACUCCUACGGGAGGCAGCAGUGGGGAAUUUUGGACAAUGGGCGCAAGCCUGAUCCAGCCAUGCCGCGUGAGUGAAGAAGGCCUUCGGGUUGUAAAGCUCUUUCGGUGAAGACGAAACGGUUCAUGCUAAUAACGUGAACUAAUGACGGUACUCACAGAAGAAGCACCGGCUAACUACGUGCCAGCAGCCGCGGUAAUACGUAGGGUGCAGGCGUUAAUCGGAAUUACUGGGCGUAAAGCGUGCGCAGGCGGUUUGCUAAGACAGGUGUGAAAUCCCCGGCUUAACCUGGGAAUUGCGCUUGUAACUGGCAAGCUAGAGUGUGGCAGAGGGGGGUGGAAUUCCACGUGUAGCAGUGAAAUGCGUAGAUAUGUGGAGGAACACCGAUGGCGAAGGCAGCCCCCUGGGUUAACACUGACGCUCAUGCACGAAAGCGUGGGGAGCAAACAGGAUUAGAUACCCUGGUAGUCCACGCCCUAAACUAUGUCAACUAGUUGUCGGGGAAGAAAUUCCUUGGUAACGAAGCUAACGCGUGAAGUUGACCGCCUGGGGAGUACGGCCGCAAGGUUAAAACUCAAAGGAAUUGACGGGGACCCGCACAAGCGGUGGAUUAUGUGGAUUAAUUCGAUGCAACGCGAAAAACCUUACCUACCCUUGACAUGCUAGGAAGCCCGCAGAGAUGUGGGUGUGCCCGAAAGGGAACCUAGACACAGGUGCUGCAUGGCUGUCGUCAGCUCGUGUCGUGAGAUGUUGGGUUAAGUCCCGCAACGAGCGCAACCCUUGCCAUUAGUUGCUACAUUCAGUUGGGCACUCUAAUGGGACCGCCGGUGACAAACCGGAGGAAGGUGGGGAUGACGUCAAGUCCUCAUGGCCCUUAUGGGUAGGGCUUCACACGUAAUACAAUGGUCGGUACAGAGGGCUGCCAACCCGCAAGGGGGAGCUAAUCCCAGAAAGCCGAUCGUAGUCCGGAUUGUAGUCUGCAGCUCGACUGCAUGAAGCCGGAAUCGCUAGUAAUCGCGGAUCAGCAUGUCGCGGUGAAUACGUUCCCGGGUCUUGUACACACCGCCCGUCACACCAUGGGAGUGGGUUCCACCAGAAGUAGUUAGCCUAACCGCAAGGAGGGCGAUUACCACGGUGAGAUUCAUGACUGGGGUGAAGUCGUAACAAGGUA